ACGCUCGACACCUACUGUAGGCAGCAGUGGGGAAUAUUGCACAAUGGGGGAAACCCUGAUGCAGCGACGCCGCGUGGAGGAAGAAGGUCUUCGGAUUGUAAACUCCUGUUGUUGGGGAAAAAGAGGAUGGUACCCAACAAGGAAGUGACGGCUAACUACGUGCCAGCAGCCGCGGUAAUCUGAGCGGGCUGGCAAGGC
Molecule: ribosomal RNA, 198 nt
Filed under: uncultured bacterium
Lineage: Bacteria
Description: partial 16S ribosomal RNA
Rfam family: Bacterial small subunit ribosomal RNA
Source: RNAcentral